Molecule: long non-coding RNA, 905 nt
Filed under: Callithrix jacchus (white-tufted-ear marmoset)
Lineage: Eukaryota; Metazoa; Chordata; Mammalia; Primates; Cebidae
Description: lncRNA (ENSCJAG00000070366.1)
Source: RNAcentral
GAAGACGCGUCCCAGCUGCUGGGGGUCAGCCUCUUGUCUGGCUCUGAUUUCCUUGCAGUGUGGGGGAAUUGCCCCACCCCCAGCACCCAGGCGCAGCUGUACUAAAGGUCAAGGUGGGCAAUAGCUUGAGCUCGCAUCUCCUUGACUUCAGCUGUGCAGAACCAAUGUGCGCCUGCUGGAAGGACAGCUGGUGUUUGCGGCUGAUGGUGCACAGCUGAGAGCAGGCGCCCCUCGUCCUUUCGGCUGCAUUCUAUUCUACACAUCUCCAAAGGUGUUUAUAAAUUCUCUUUCUUAAGUAGCAGAAACCUCCAUCAACUCAGCAAAAAUAAACAUAUCAGUAACCACGGUGACUUCGGCAUUCCCACACUGGGCAGAAGUGACCUCAGGCGGACACAGAGGGGCGCAGACGUGGAUCUGAACAUGGAUUUGAUGAAAGUGGAAUAGAUCUGAUUGAAAACCUUCACAGCCCCUGAUGGUUGGAAUUCCAGGCUUCCUGCUGGUGUCUGCCCUGUUUCAUGACCCAUGAAGCCCCAACAGUGACAAGGGCUGUUGCUGCUGGUGCCCGGACUGGUCUCCUGAGGCCACGCCUUGCUUCCUGGGGAGGGGCUUUGCCUCAGUAGGACCAAGGGCAGGAGACCCGGGCACUGCUCAGUCAGGCUUCCUCCCUCGGGUCCAGACCCAUGACCUUCCUGGGCUUCUGUUUCACAGCGAUGAUGCCAGGAUGCCCAAGAAUUGCAAAGUUCACCAGCACACUCGAGGGAGAGAAACAACAGCGACAAACUCCAAGGAACUACAGAGGCAGAGGGAUGUGGAACCCAGGACGUAGAGGGGGCAGAUUCGUGUUCCCCCCAGGGGACCCUGGGAACCACGACCCUGCAGCCAGGUGUGCUCAGAGGAUAAACAGG